AGGAAUAUGGAAGCUUGGAUGAGACCCCAUGCGUAAUUACAGCUUGGAGCAAAUAUGCCCAAGACAUCUGUUGGACCAGGACAUGGACUCUGCCCAGUAAAUUCCUGCUUGUCAACAAAGUUAAAGCCUUGACCAACCUGAACACCUAUGGGAUGAUGGUCAUGCAUGAAUUCUCCACCAUCUUCAAGCUGAAACUGCAGGACUACACUGCUGCCCUUAGCAAUGUUUCCCAGUCUGUCACAUGGCAGCAAGCAAUGCACCCCAGCUUGGCAGUGCAGUGAGGAGGGACACACCCCAGACUGGCAAUGUUGCAAACAGAGGAACAAGACAAUGAAGAGGAAGACCUUUGCCAUAGCAGUCCAAAUGCCUAGUGUACCAAGCCUAGACCCAACCAGAUUCUCCAGAACUGUCUGCCAGUAAACAGUGGUCUGGCUACCACCCUCAGAGGCCCAUUGGUCCUGGAGCUGUAUAACCACAUCAUGGAAGUUGGAGGUCUCAGGAACCCAGCAGUUAGAGAGGACGUGUUUUGCGCUGAAAUAACUAAUGACAAUUCUGCUGUAGCUUGGACUGAAAGCUGUGCUACAUUGAGCAUUUACCAUUAUUGUUAUAACCAGAUUGUAACCAGAUUCAAUGAUAAAAUAAUUUAGUUUUUAUACUUAACUUUUAUUUAUUUAUUUAUUUUCUAUCUCACCUGGUCCUUAUUUGUGUUAAUUCUAAUCUCUAUUUUUGUCUCUAUUUUUAUGAACUGGGACACUCUGAAUACUCUUUAACCCCACUAAGUGAUUGAUUACCAUUAUUUAUGACAAUCAUGGAAACUAACUGGAUAGCUUUUUUAUUUUCAUAAAGUUUAAAUAUUUCAUGAUGUUAAUGUGGUCAUUCUUUCUGACUUUGUCUAAUUUCUACAUUAAUUUUAUUCACCGUUUUAUGGAAUGAUAAUAAAACAUCUUUGAACCUAAAGUAACCUCAGUGAUCUUUCUGUGUUGGUAACACACUACCAUCUUAAAGGUCUUAAAAAGCUAUUUUUUUCAUCCCCAUGUUAAUUUAUGUGUCACAUGUUGAUAUUUAUUUACAAUAAUAAGUGUAACUCUACCAUUGUUACAGUCACCGUCUGUCUCACCUUCCCCGGACUCCAUUUCCCAGCAUCCCUCUGGUUCCUCACCUCCGAUCUCUCACCAAUCACAUGGGCCUGCAAGCCAUCACCAUUGUUAACACUCGUCAGCACACCCCUACAUAAGCCCCAUGUUCACUCCACCACAUUGUCUGAUCUCGUCAAUGGAAAGUACUGUCUCAUGUACAUGGACUCCUUGCCUGUUACUCACCUGAGAAUCCUGUAUCCUCUCCCAUUCGUCUUCCAUCAUCUGUUCUCCAUUCCCUGUGGAUCCUUCACCUACAAAGACAUAAUCUGUUACACUCCAGCUAAGUGACUGUUCCAAAGUGCUUGUUCAUUCACUCACUUGCAUUCUCCAGCUUCCAUUG
Long non-coding RNA from Megalobrama amblycephala (Wuchang bream), 1476 nucleotides. RefSeq lists it as uncharacterized. Lineage: Eukaryota; Metazoa; Chordata; Actinopteri; Cypriniformes; Xenocyprididae. The transcript is spliced from 3 exons. The record is from RefSeq and is a predicted model, not a curated record.